RNAcentral lists this ribosomal RNA (498 nucleotides) under Veillonella dispar. Its description in RNAcentral is "bacterial SSU rRNA". It matches the Rfam family "Bacterial small subunit ribosomal RNA", at positions 28 to 497 of the family's 1533-position model. The record is from RNAcentral. Lineage: Bacteria; Bacillati; Bacillota; Negativicutes; Veillonellales; Veillonellaceae.
GACGAACGCGGCGGCGUGCUUAACACAUGCAAGUCGAACGAAGAGCGAUGGAAGCUUGCUUCUAUCAAUCUUAGUGGCGAACGGGUGAGUAACGCGUAAUCAACCUGCCCUUCAGAGGGGGACAACAGUUGGAAACGACUGCUAAUACCGCAUACGAUCUAAUCUCGGCAUCGAGGAAAGAUGAAAGGUGGCCUCUAUUUAUAAGCUAUCACUGAAGGAGGGGAUUGCGUCUGAUUAGCUAGUUGGAGGGGUAACGGCCCACCAAGGCGAUGAUCAGUAGCCGGUCUGAGAGGAUGAACGGCCACAUUGGGACUGAGACACGGCCCAGACUCCUACGGGAGGCAGCAGUGGGGAAUCUUCCGCAAUGGACGAAAGUCUGACGGAGCAACGCCGCGUGAGUGAUGACGGCCUUCGGGUUGUAAAGCUCUGUUAAUCGGGACGAAAGGCCUUCUUGCGAACAGUAGAAGGAUUGACGGUACCGGAAUAGAAAGCCACGCA